Molecule: microRNA, 21 nt
Filed under: Panagrellus redivivus
Lineage: Eukaryota; Metazoa; Nematoda; Chromadorea; Rhabditida; Panagrolaimidae
Description: prd-miR-7901-3p
Source: miRBase by way of RNAcentral
UACUGUAGUUGAAGCGCGGGG